Molecule: non-coding RNA, 404 nt
Organism: Camellia sinensis
Lineage: Eukaryota; Viridiplantae; Streptophyta; Magnoliopsida; Ericales; Theaceae
Source: RefSeq, a predicted model, not a curated record
AGAUUUUGAAUGACAUAACUGGAAAUCUGGAUGCCAGAAAAGCAUGCAGUGGGGCGAUGAAACUUCACAGGAAGUAUCUAAAAAAGGCCAAGAAGACUUGACAUUGAACGUAUGAAUUUUUGGCGUAGUCAAGAAAUAACUGGACAUUUUUCAUAGCUUCAAUUGAUUUGGCAAUAGAAGAUAACUAUACUUCCUUUUGAAUCUUGGCUCAGAGCUCACAGAUUUGUUCUCUCCAACCGGCCAAAAAGAAGAAAAAAAAUUCAAAAAAAGGCCAGUGGAAGGAUUUGUUGUAUGUAAAAUCGAUCGUGAUUGCUUGUAUAUCCAAAGCAUUCUUUGCAAGACAUUAUAUGAAACAUCAGUUGUUUUGUAUUUGUUAUGAUGAGGAGAAAAGGUUUUUUGGUUCA